AUGGCCGCCGCCUCCUCCCCCCUCGCCGCCGGCGACAGCGCGCACCGGCGGCAGUGGCGGUACACGUGGGAGACCCUGGCGCACCUCCCCCUCCUGCGUCUCUACCUCUCCCACCCGGCCCUCUCCGCCGCGGCGCCCUCCGGUCUCCGCGCCGACCUCCGCCUCGACGCCGACCUCCUCCUCCUCUCCUUCUUCCUUACGUCGGACCCCGUCUCCCUCAGGGUCCCCGUGCCGAGGGUGCUCGUGGACCCCUCCGUCCCGCCCGAGUGCCGUGCCGCGGGGGACCACCUCGAGGUCCGCCUCACCCUCGUCCUCCCCGUCGACCACCCCGUCGUCGCCGCCGCCUUCCCCGGCGCCGGCCCUCCCGCGCCCCUCUCCCUCCGCGAUGAUUUGAAGUCUCUAUCUUCUGGGGAUGUCCAUUUGUACUGCAAAACAUGCUCAGCAAGAUUGACAAAACAGCCACUAAGGGACGUUGUGGAAAUGCCAUCUUUAAAUUGGGAGGAUGUGGCUGACAAUUGGUUUGGUGGAUGUUGCACAUCAUUCGGAGGGGCAAGUGAGAAGUUAAUAUCACACUAUAUCAAUGCAUAUGGUCGCCUGCAGAGAACAACUCUACUAGAUGCUACCUCCAUUAUUAUAGAGAAGGAUUAUCUUGAGACAGAUAUAGUGUCGAGAGUAGAUAUUUCAGUGCCCAGUGUUGAUUUUGUUGCACUAGAAGAAGCUAUGUUUAAUGUUACUCUACAAAGCGAUCAUACUGCUGAGAAGAUAAAAUUGAAUAAUUCAGAAGAGGAGGUAUGCCAUGAAAAGAAAAUUGGUUCUAAUCACUUGCGACCUCCAGUUCUUUUGGAAGAGGGUCCUUGUAUUGAUAAUACUGAAAAAAAUGGAGGCACUCCUUGGACUGAUCAGUGUGGUACUAUCCAGCUGAAUAAUGGUGGCGAUGUGAACUCUGAGAAGUCUACAAGUGACUGUUUUAUUGAAAACAUGGAGCAAACUUCUCAAGAGGCUGAUUCGAAUCUGGUAGAUCCAUGCAGUUGCUGCGGUGACAGUGGAGAUAGUGGAAAAGCUGGAUUGGAGAACCAAAGAGAUUACAAGUUAACAAAAAGUAUCUCCCUUGGAAGUAGCUUUAUCAUUAAAGAAUCAAACCUUGUGAAAGAUGUUAACUGGGUUGAGCUUCUAUGUUCUCAUUGCUCGUCAUCUCUUGGGUCAUACCCAUCGCAAUAUUCAGAUGCUCCAUCAGAUGGACGGGUACGGCUGUUCAAAUGUUACACAUCCUCAGACCUUCCUGUUGGGGGUCCUCAUGAUGUGUUCAGGGGACACACAUUGGAAAAACUAUUUGUUAAUUUGUUGCUUGAAAUAGCUGAAGAUGAAAUAUCUUUUCGUACAGUAGUGAGAGAUUUGAAAACCAAAAGGCCCAUGCUGCAAAUAGUCCUUCUUAGUUCAAAAGCAUGGAUGUUUUCUGGUUACUGCUGUGAAAAUGAAAUGGAUGGUUCACAUGUGACAGCACAUCUGCAGCCUACUGUUAAGCUCCUGUAUUCUAACUGCAGUAGUGCGUCAGAAACAGACUUAAGGACAGUAGAGGAGUGGUCAUCCAAAUAUCGGGCUGAACAGUUAUACAUGAUGGUCGGGCAGAUAAAUGAACUUACUGAAUGCCUUAGCUCAGCUAAGGAUGAGUUCCCUCUUUCUUGCUCGUCUCUUGAAGGAAUGUGUCUUUCGUCUCUGGAGCGUUGA
This 1725-nucleotide ribosomal RNA is filed under the name Triticum aestivum (bread wheat). RNAcentral's name for it is "partial small subunit ribosomal RNA". The record is from RNAcentral. Lineage: Eukaryota; Viridiplantae; Streptophyta; Magnoliopsida; Poales; Poaceae.